ACGCUGACCCCUCUGCUCCAACAGCUGUGUGAGGCCCCACUUGGGGCCUUUACCCACCCCUGCCCAGGCCCUGUUUCAGACCUUUUGAGGUCUGCUCCAAAGGAUAGCUGCUGCAGGUCAUGCAGGAACUGGUUUUUCAUUACUGUAAACUGCUUUAGGAACCCUGAUGAAGCACUCUCUCCAUCAGAUGCAUUUGUUACACGCCAGCUUGAAGUUUAUCUUUUGGGUGGCUGGCUCAGAGCAGUGGGACGCUUGGUGUGGUUUGUGAAGCCGAUUUAGGAAGUCAGAAGUGCUUCAAAUCCAGAUUUUACCUCUUCAGUCUGUGACCUGCCCGUGGGUACGAUGUGAUUUUUUUUUAUAGCUUUCUCAGUGGCACAUCUAUACUUCAAGCAUGUCCAGUGAAACUGAGGCACUCAAUAGAAGAGGGGAGAAGAUGGUGGUGAGGAAAUACUACCCAAACUGCAUCCUUAGUAAAGCUAAAUAGGGUAUUCCCAAAGGGUGAGAAAAGGACCAAGAUCUGAAACUAGCUGGAGGGCCACCCAGAAGGGGGAGGAUUUUGUAGCAAAUGUGCCCUUUUGCCUGUAUUCUCCUCUGAGAGGAGAAUGUGAGGACUGAGGGCUUGUUCAAAGAGCAAAGCCUUCAUCGCGAGGUUGUCUCAUCUAAAACUGCAUAAUAGAGUGAGAAGCCUCUUAGAUCUGAUCCUAGAAUGAGGAGAUUAAAGAGAAAAC
This 728-nucleotide long non-coding RNA is filed under the name Gallus gallus (chicken). RNAcentral describes it as "lncRNA (ENSGALG00010019787.1)". The record is from RNAcentral. Lineage: Eukaryota; Metazoa; Chordata; Aves; Galliformes; Phasianidae.